GAUCUAUUUUUUAACUGAUCUAUUUGUUUAUAUUUAUUAACUUAUAUUUUUCUACAGGAAGUAUAAUCCAAAUUUAGAUCCGAUCUAUUAGUAUUUUUUUUGUCCAGUUUAGAUGUAAUCUGAUAUUUUUUCUCUUAGGUGCACUUGUUUUUUUUAUCCAACUUUGGUUCUGCGGUGGACUUGUUCUUUGCGGGCAACUUUUUUUACCCGAGUACACGCUGCCCCGCCGAGGACGAAGAUGGACAGAUGGUGGCGCAUGCAUGGAGCACAUGUGAAACCGUCGCCUGAAUCCGGCAUCUGAAGCGCAGGAAUCGUGACCGUGUAAACGAUUCUCUUGGGAGCAUUUUAGUUGUACAUAGAGAGAGUUACAUGAGACAUACAUGAG
This 385-nucleotide long non-coding RNA is filed under the name Sorghum bicolor (sorghum). Its description in RNAcentral is "long non-coding RNA (SBIC_LNC016654)". Lineage: Eukaryota; Viridiplantae; Streptophyta; Magnoliopsida; Poales; Poaceae. The record is from RNAcentral.